AGCAGCUUCAGCUCCCUUCGCGCAUCCCGCUUGUCCCGCCGCAGCUGCCUCUCUAUCUCGGCGUUGAUUCUCUUGGAUUCUUUCGCCUCUUCGCUAAGGCAGCACGCCAUGAUAGAGUCGAGAGUCAUGAAGCCUGAGGCAAUCUGACAAGAAAAUUUUAUGCCGCUCUGUUCACUAUGAACCCAUAUACCAAGUCAACGUACUGAUCAUGCUUUAUUAGCAACAUUUCCACUGUCAUUUCUCUAUUUGAAGAGCCAUUCACAAUUUCUUCUGGCUGCUGAUCAAGACAAAUAUUUUAACCUGAGGCCUGACUGAAUCACUUAUGCCACUAUACAGUAUCUGCAAGAUCCUACAACAUUCACAGAUGGGAGUUUGGAUUACUCUGCCCUUACAUAACUUUGAGGAUGUGGACAUAAAGGAUAAGUACUGAGUGCUUCAAAAGCACACAAGGGAUCCUUGAGGAAGAAGGCCUCCAAGUGCCAACAUCCCAACAAAUUCAGGCAAUCAUGUCCACACCGGCUCUGAAUGGCAGUGUAUUUGUGGGUUCAACAAAGCAGUGUGAAGAUUUACAGAAUUGAAUCCGGGCAUGCUCUGGUCUCCCUGAAGAAGUCACACUAACUCUUAACUUCCUUGCCUCUGAUGUUUCUCAUCAGCUGCCACAGAUCUAUGCCAUGCUUCACAAUUUUCUGCUUAUAGCUGCUUUCUUGAGAUUUUAAACUCAUUGUACUUUUGCAGGAAUUAUUUUUUUCCAACGCUGACAAUAAACAGUGUAUGCACAUUCACUUGCUAAUACAGCUGGCUUUCCAAAUGUGCAUGGCCUCAUAGAUUCACUUGUGUCUCAUGUGGCACCAUUAACUUCAUGAUAGUCGAUGCCACCCUUCCAGUGACUCAUUCAUUCCAGGUCAGUCUAAGCUGCUACCUGCAUGGAUAGAUAUGAGGAGACAAGGGUUAUUUUCUUCUGCAAUGAAUCCCCAAACUGAAAAGAGCUCCAUGUUCUCAAGCAGAGCAAAGAUACAUUAGGAGCUAUGCUGCAACAUUUAGCCAAGAGAAGGACUCCAUAGAUAUGAUGAAGGUUGGCUUCAGUUCUCUUCAACAGUUGUGGGUAGCUUUUGAGCCCUGAUCCAAAUGAGCCUGCUAGGUGCUGCAUAACUUAGCCACCAACAGAACAGAAUCCUUGGAGGAUGGAGUGCGAGAGAAAGAAAAGUAUACUGCAGAAGAGGAGGAAGAGCCAAAACAGCACACAGUGGUCUCAGCUGAUGUCGGGGAGAAAGACAACAGAAGAAGGUGAUGGAGGGAAUGGUCUAUGGUAGAACAGCUGUUGGACAACCUAUUCUGUCACCUCACAGGGAGAAAGUCACUAAGAAUGCUUCUCCCCCACCUUGACCCUCCAUAUAACCAAAUUUAUUAGCCUUAAAAUUAGAGUAGAAUAAAUUACAUUCCAGCAAUGUAGAAGAUGUCCUGGAUGCCUCCUGUCCACAAAAAGCAGAACAAUAUGAAUCCAGUAAUAACGACCCAAUUGGACAGUCUCAAUCAACAAAAAAGUAAUGGAAGUUGUCAUUGACAGCACUCUCAGAAAGUAUUUACUGCCUAAUAAUUUGCUCACUGAUGCUAUUUUGAAGUUCACUAGAAUCAUUCAGCUUCAGGUCUCAUCCCAACACUGGUCCAAACGUGAAGCAAAGAGCUGAAUUCCAGAAGUGAGGUGAAAGUGACUGUCCUUGCCAUCAAGGCAGUAUUUGACAGAAUCUGUCUAGUAAAGUCUCAUAAGGUCCAGCAAGUCUAGUAAAUCUGAAAUCAAUGGGCAUCAAGUUGAAAACUGGUUGGAACCAUACCUCACAAACAAGAAGGUAAAAUAUUACGGCUACAAAAGCUGUGAGAGCCUGAGUAUCCUAUGGCAUGAACUACCUCCUGAUAGC
Long non-coding RNA from Pristis pectinata (smalltooth sawfish), 1913 nucleotides. RefSeq lists it as uncharacterized. Lineage: Eukaryota; Metazoa; Chordata; Chondrichthyes; Rhinopristiformes; Pristidae. The transcript has 3 exons. The record is from RefSeq and is a predicted model, not a curated record.